AGAGUUUGAUCCUGGCUCAGAACGAACGCUGGCGGCGUGGAUAAGACAUGCAAGUCGAACGGAAGUACUCGGUAGCAAUACUGGUUGCUUUAGUGGCGAACGGGUGAGUAACACGUGAGUUACAUGCCCUGCAGAGGGGAAUAGCCCGCCGAAAGGCGGAUUAAUACCCCAUGGUCCCGCAAGGGUAAAGGUGGCUUCGGCUGCCGCUGCAGGAUGGGCUCGCGGCCUAUCAGCUUGUUGGUGAGGUAAAAGCUCACCAAGGCAGUGACGGGUAGCUGGUCUGAGAGGAUGAUCAGUCACACUGGAACUGAGACACGGUCCAGACACCUACGGGUGGCAGCAGUCGAGAAUCAUUCGCAAUGGGGGAAACCCUGACGGUGCGACGCCGCGUGGAGGAUGACGGUCUUCGGAUUGUAAACUCCUGUCAUCGAAGAGUAAGGUUUGCGGGUAAAUAGCUCGUAAAAUUGAUAGUAUUCGAAGAGGAAGGGACGGCUAACUUCGUGCCAGCAGCCGCGGUAAUACGAAGGUCCCAAGCGUUGUUCGGAAUCACUGGGCGUAAAGGGAGCGUAGGCGGCGAUGUAAGUCAGAUGUGAAAGCCCGGGGCUCAACCUCGGAAUUGCAGCCGAUACUGCCUUACUAGAGGACUGGAGAGGAGAUUGGAAUUCACGGUGUAGCAGUGAAAUGCGUGGAUAUCGUGAGGAAGACCAAAGGCGAAGGCAGAUCUCUGGACAGUUCCUGACGCUGAGGCACGAAGGCCAGGGUAGCGAAAAGGAUUAGAUACCCUUGUAGUCCUGGCAGUAAACGGUGCGCGCUUGGUGUGGGAGGAUUCGACCCCUUCUGUGCCGGAGCUAACGCGUUAAGCGCGCCGCCUGGGGAGUACGGCCGCAAGGCUAAAACUCAAAGAAAUUGACGGGGACCCGCACAAGCGGUGGAGUAUGUGGCUUAAUUCGAUGCAACGCGAAGAACCUUACCUGGGCUUGACAUGCAUCUCUAAACCGGUGAAAGGGAGCGGAGCAAUCCGUAAUUUGCACAGGUGCUGCAUGGCUGUCGUCAGCUCGUGUCGUGAGAUGUUGGGUUAAGUCCCGCAACGAGCGCAACCCCUGUGAUUAGUUACCAGCGAGUAGUGUCGGGGACUCUAAUCAGACUGCCCAGAUCAACUGGGAGGAAGGUGGGGACGACGUCAAGUCAGUAUGGCCCUUACGUCUGGGGCUGCACACGUACUACAAUGCCCAGUACAAUGAGAACCGAGACCGCGAGGUGGAGGAAAUCUGUAAAACUGGGCCCAGUUCGGAUUGGAGGCUGCAACUCGCCUCCAUGAAGCCGGAAUCGCUAGUAAUGGUACAUCAGCAACGGUACCGUGAAUACGUUCCCGGGUCUUGUACACACCGCCCGUCACAUCAUGGAAGCCGGUCGCACCCGAAGUACAUGUGCUAACUUUCGAGAAGCAGUGUCCUAAGGUGUAGCUGGUAACUGGGAUGAAGUCGUAACAAGGUAACC
This 1497-nucleotide ribosomal RNA is filed under the name uncultured prokaryote. Its description in RNAcentral is "partial 16S ribosomal RNA". It matches the Rfam family "Bacterial small subunit ribosomal RNA". The record is from RNAcentral.